This 253-nucleotide ribosomal RNA is filed under the name uncultured bacterium. RNAcentral's name for it is "partial 16S ribosomal RNA". It matches the Rfam family "Bacterial small subunit ribosomal RNA", at positions 524 to 776 of the family's 1533-position model. The record is from RNAcentral.
UACAGAGGUCUCAAGCGUUGUUCGGAUUCAUUGGGCGUAAAGGGUGCGUAGGUGGCGCGCUAAGUCAGGUGUGAAAUUUCGGAGCUUAACUCCGAAACUGCAUUUGAUACUGGCGUGCUUGAGGACUGGAGAGGAGACUGGAAUUCACGGUGUAGCAGUGAAAUGCGUAGAGAUCGGGAGGAACAUCAGUGGCGAAGGCGGCGACCUGGACAAGUAUUGACACUCAACUACGAAAGCAUGGGGAGCAAACAGG